UCUGUGCAGGAGGCAGCCCCAGCCAGGAAACAGAAUGGACGUGAGGGUUCCCACUCAGCUCCUGGGGCUCCUGCUGCUCUGGCUCCCAGGUGUGACAUGUGAUAUCCAGAUGACCCAGUCUCCAUUCUCCCUGUCUGCAUCUGUAGGAGACAGAGUCACCAUCACUUGCCAGGCAAGUCAGGGCAUUAACAAUGAUUUAGCCUGGUAUCAGCAGAAACCAGGGAAAGCUCCUAAGCUCCUGAUCUAUUCUGCAUCCAAUUUGCUGAUGGGGGUUCCAUCUCGGUUCAGUGGCAGUGGAUCUGGGACAGAUUACACUCUCACCAUCAGCAGCCUGCAGCCUGAAGAUGGUGCAACUUAUUACUGUCAACAGGAUUAUAAUACCCCGUUCACAGUAUUACAAGCCAUAACAAAAACCCCCAGGGAAGCAGGUGUGUGA
Non-coding RNA from Symphalangus syndactylus (siamang), 436 nucleotides. The record is from the annotation of a RefSeq genome assembly. Lineage: Eukaryota; Metazoa; Chordata; Mammalia; Primates; Hylobatidae.